Molecule: ribosomal RNA, 460 nt
Filed under: Vreelandella stevensii
Lineage: Bacteria; Pseudomonadati; Pseudomonadota; Gammaproteobacteria; Oceanospirillales; Halomonadaceae
Description: partial 16S ribosomal RNA
Rfam family: Bacterial small subunit ribosomal RNA
Source: RNAcentral
CCUACGGGCGGCAGCAGUAAGGAAUAUUGGUCAAUGGAGGGAACUCUGAACCAGCCAUGCCGCGUGCAGGAUGACUGCCCUAUGGGUUGUAAACUGCUUUUGUCCAGGAAUAAACCUGUUUACGUGUAAACAGCUGAAUGUACUGGAAGAAUAAGGAUCGGCUAACUCCGUGCCAGCAGCCGCGGUAAUACGGAGGAUCCGAGCGUUAUCCGGAUUUAUUGGGUUUAAAGGGUGCGUAGGCGGCUUUAUAAGUCAGAGGUGAAAGACGGCAGCUUAACUGUCGCAGUGCCUUUGAUACUGUAGAGCUUGAAUGUGAUUGAAGAUGGCGGAAUGAGACAAGUAGCGGUGAAAUGCAUAGAUAUGUCUCAGAACCCCGAUUGCGAAGGCAGCUGUCUAAGUCAUAAUUGACGCUGAUGCACGAAAGCGUGGGGAUCAAACAGGAUUAGAUACCCCAGUAGUC